This 72-nucleotide transfer RNA is filed under the name Ovis aries (sheep). It matches the Rfam family "tRNA". From Rfam's summary of the family: Transfer RNA (tRNA) molecules are approximately 80 nucleotides in length. Their secondary structure includes four short double-helical elements and three loops (D, anti-codon, and T loops). Further hydrogen bonds mediate the characteristic L-shaped molecular structure. tRNAs have two regions of fundamental functional importance: the anti-codon, which is responsible for specific mRNA codon recognition, and the 3' end, to which the tRNAs corresponding amino acid is attached (by aminoacyl-tRNA synthetases). tRNAs cope with the degeneracy of the genetic code in two manners: having more than one tRNA (with a specific anti-codon) for a particular amino acid; and 'wobble' base-pairing, i.e. permitting non-standard base-pairing at the 3rd anti-codon position. The record is from Rfam by way of RNAcentral. Lineage: Eukaryota; Metazoa; Chordata; Mammalia; Artiodactyla; Bovidae.
UCCCUGAUAGCUUAGCUGGUAAAGAAUCUGCCUGCAAAGUAGGAGACCCUGGUUCAAUUGCUAGGUCAGGAA